UGAGGAAGUAAAAGUCGUAACAAGGUUUCCGUAGGUGAACCUGCGGAAGGAUCAUUAACCGUUACAAACAGUGUGUGAUGCGGCCGCCGAGGUGAAUAGCCUCUGGUUGGUAUGGGGUUCGCCCCUUCACGCUCACGCGUCUGCCAUCCUUACUUUACGAGCACCUUCUGUUCUCCCUCGGCAAGGGCCUCGCCCUGCCGUUGGAACUACAAAACUCUUUUUUGCAUCUAGCAUUACCUGUUCCGACAAAAACAAUCGUUUACAACUUUCAACAAUGGAUCUCUUGGCUCUGGCAUCGAUGAAGAACGCAGCGAAAUGCGAUAAGUAGUGUGAAUUGCAGAAUUCAGUGAAUCAUCUAAUCUUUGAACGCACAUUGCGCCCCUCGGUAUUCCGUGGGGCAUGCCUGUUCGAGCGUCAUCUACACCCUCAAGCUCUGCUUGGUGUUGGGCGUCUGUCCCGCCUCCGCGCGUGGACUCGCCCCAAAUACAUUGGCAGCGGUCUUUGCCUCCUCUCGCGCAGCACAUUGCGCUUCUCGAGGUGUCGCGGACACGCGUCCAGUAAGCAACAUUUACCGUCUUUGACCUCGGAUCAGGUAGGGAUACCCGCUGAACUUAAGCAUAUCAAUAAGCGGAGGAA
This 636-nucleotide ribosomal RNA is filed under the name fungal sp. P22E4. Its description in RNAcentral is "eukaryotic LSU rRNA". The stretch from base 264 to 417 matches the Rfam family "5.8S ribosomal RNA". The record is from RNAcentral. Lineage: Eukaryota; Fungi.